GCCUGGGUGGUUCAGUCGGCUGAGCGUCUGACUUCAGCUCAGGUCAUGAUCUCACAGCUUGUGAGUUCGAGCCCCACUUUGGGCU
Molecule: transfer RNA, 85 nt
Filed under: Felis catus (domestic cat)
Lineage: Eukaryota; Metazoa; Chordata; Mammalia; Carnivora; Felidae
Rfam family: tRNA
About the family: Transfer RNA (tRNA) molecules are approximately 80 nucleotides in length. Their secondary structure includes four short double-helical elements and three loops (D, anti-codon, and T loops).
Source: Rfam by way of RNAcentral